RNAcentral lists this ribosomal RNA (280 nucleotides) under Mustelus asterias (starry smooth-hound). Its description in RNAcentral is "partial 12S ribosomal RNA". It matches the Rfam family "Bacterial small subunit ribosomal RNA", at positions 798 to 1233 of the family's 1533-position model. The record is from RNAcentral. Lineage: Eukaryota; Metazoa; Chordata; Chondrichthyes; Carcharhiniformes; Triakidae.
AACCAUAAACUUAGACAAUACUUCACCAUAUUGUUCGCCAGAGUACUACAAGCGCUAGCUUAAAACCCAAAGGACUUGGCGGUAUCCCACACCCACCUAGAGGAGCCUGUUCUAUAACCGAUAAUCCCCGUUCAACCUCACCACUUCUUGCCAUUACCGUCUAUAUACCGCCGUCGUCAGCUCACCCUGUGAAGGGUCAAAAGUAAGCAAAAAGAAUUUAAACUCCAAAACGUCAGGUCGAGGUGUAGCAAAUGAAGUGGGAAGAAAUGGGCUACAUUUU